RNAcentral lists this long non-coding RNA (6815 nucleotides) under Sus scrofa (pig). RNAcentral describes it as "lncRNA (ENSSSCG00000053005.1)". Lineage: Eukaryota; Metazoa; Chordata; Mammalia; Artiodactyla; Suidae. The record is from RNAcentral.
GCACUUAAGAAUUAAAGAUUCGAUCACACAAUUAAAUAAGGAAUUACAAUUGCUAUAGAGGCUAUGAAAGAGACGCGUAGCGGGGCAGGGAGAGUAUAGAUGCAUAGCAGUAUAUCUCGUUUGGGGAAUCCAGGAAGGCUUCCAUGAAGUGAUGAUGUAUAGGCUGCUCUCUGAAGGAUGAUAGACAUUAACAAGAUGAAGGGGUGGAGGUUUGGAGGAAAAGGCAGGGUACAAGGAGCCGGGUGCCAAGCAGGAAGGAGUAGGUCUUGCUGCAAUAAAACUGUGAGGGCUCUUUGGUGUUGGAAUAAUAUGGAGAAUGGGGAGCAGGGAAGCUCCUGGUCCCUGUGGGGGAGGAAAUCAGGGACUGCGUCUUAUCGAACCCUGAGGCCAUGUUAUAGGCUUUGUCUUUCUCAUAAGAGAAUGUAGAAGCCACUAAAGAGUAACUUUAAUGCAAUACAUCUGUGACUAGUUCGAUGGUGAGCAAGUUGCAGCUUGCAGGUCAAGUCCAGCCCACCACCGGCUUUUAUUAGAACACAGCCAUGCUCUUUUGCAGCUUACUUAGGGCAGAUUUUACACUGUAACAGCUGAGUAGAGUAGCCGCAAUGGAGACUGUAUGUGUUAUAAGCCUGAAAUACUUGCAAUUUUGCCCUUUACAGAAAUGCGCCACUGGAAUUGAUCAGCUUACAAACAAUGCAGAGACCUAUUUGUGCUUUCCAUUUGUACACUCAUUUUCUUUCCCCAUUGUUAGACUGCGAGCUCCUUUUGGAACAAGGACUAUAGCCUAAUACAUUACUGUUCAGUGAACACCUGAUUGAGUCAAUCCUGCUCAUUUACCUCCUAGAGGACCUACUCCAGCUGUGAAUGUAUCUGAUUUGGAAAUUAAGAUCAAGAGAGUUUGAGGAACUGUCUCCAAAACAUCCAGAAAGUUAAUAUCCAUGUUGGGUCUUCCAUUCAGGCCUCUUGAUUCCCAUUCCUGUCCUCUUUGUUCUUACUUUAAUGCAGCUGUCCAAAUUAGUCUAAAAAUAAGCAAUAAUUUGGGUAUCACUAGAACCAGGAAACUGGAGACAUAUACCUACUUAUAGAGUCAUACUUUCAGAGUCAUGAUGACUCAUCUAGGAGAAAAACAUACCCAGAUCUGUGUUUAAAUCUGUAUUAUCAUCAUGCCUAUAAAGCAGACGUUUGUGCAUUAUCUUAGCAAGCCGAGCUCAAUGAAACAGCCUCGGAAGUUUGGAGAUUCUGUGAGGAGUCCUACAAGGAGGUCAAAGAGGCAGAAGGCUCCGUAUUGCUGUUCCAUAUGCCUGGUUGCCCUUCCUAUUAAGGGGCUGGAAAUAUAAUUAGGAGACAAGCACCACAGAUGCUGCCGUUUACAAUAACCAGAAGAAACCGCUGAAACGGGUAAGACAUGAAAGGAUAAUUUUGCUUAUACAAAAUAGCAGACUGCAAACGAAAACCAAGAAAAACAAACAGGCAGAUGGAAAGAGUGGAGACGGCAUUGGCACAGCUGUGAGCAGGAUUUAGACACCCAGAUGCAAUAUAAUCCGGGGGGAGGGGUGAGAGAGGAGGAGAGUCUGAAAAAAAAAAAAGGUCCAGAAACAGAAAAGACACUGGAGAAGAGUGAGUGGCUGGGCUUUCCACCUGCAGGUUAAGCUUCUUCACACCCACCCCCUCCUACCCUGGCUCCCGAAAGUCAUUUCCUGGGGGCUGGGAGGAGUGAACCCAAGGCCAGAGCAGAUAAACAGGCAUCCUUCCCAACAGAGAAGGCGGCAGUAAAAUCAAACGCUAUGAUUGUGGAAGAACGACACAGCCAUUACCCAGAAGAGGGUGAAUAGUGGUGUUUUGUUUUAUUAUUAGCAGCAUUAUUUAAAUAACAACACACGUGCAGGGCUAGAUGGAGCCAGGGGCGUAGGGAAGAGCAAGAGAGGGUUACCCUGCGCAUGUGCAUGGGGUUUCUACUCUGCACUAACCACGGAUCCGUUCUGUUAAUUCCCUUUGACCAACAAAGGCAAAAAACUAAGCGAUGCAUUGUUUGUCUUAUUUUUAGGGUUUAGGAAACUGAAGAUCUAAGGGGAGGAGUCACGAUUUAUUUAAACUUUGGUCUUUUGUUGUUGUUGUGGCAAACUUUUUUUUUUUUUCCCCACCCCACGGCAUAUGGAAGUUCCUGGGCCAGGGACUGAAUCCAAACCCAGCUGUGAUGACCUACGCCAAAGCUGCAGCAACUGCCAGAUCCUUUAACCCACUGUGCUGUGCUGGGGAUCGAACCUGCACCUCUGCGUCCACGGAGCUGCUGCACUCAGGUUCUUCUUUUCUUUUUUUUUUUUUUUAAUGACUUUUAUUUUUUCUAUUAUAGUUGGUUUACAGUGUUCUUUCAAUUUUCUACUGUACAGUAUUCUUUUCUUUUUUUUAAGGGCCGCACUUGCGGCAUAUGGAAGUUGCCAGGCUAGGGGUCGAAUCAGAGCUACAGCUUCUGGCCUACACCACACCACAGCAACUCGGGAUCCAAGCUGCAUCUGCGACCUACCCCACAGCUCACCGCAACGCCAGAUCCCCGACUCGCUGAGCAAGGCCAGGGAUCGAACCUGCAUCCUCAUGGAUGCUAGUCCGAUUUGUUUCCACUGCGCCACAACCGGAACUCUUGCACUCAGAUUCUUAACACACUGUGCCGCAGUGGGAGCUCCUGAACUUGGGUCUUUAUGAUGUGCCAGCGGGUCUUCUCCAACCGCUGAAGUUCAAACAAGUCAGGGCCAUCAGAAGAAACACUUCUGUUUUAUAAAACCAAACUGGACCCCGAAAGGGAGCAGUGACGGGCUCCUUAUCAAAUGGUGACUCAGAAGAGAACGUUCUGGUGGCCAGCAGAGACUGGGAAUGAGCAUCCUACUCCGCCCACCCUGGAGCACUGUCUUCACUUCUCCCCCAGUGUGUACUCAGCCUUUAUGCUUUUUCCUCCCCCUCUAAUGUGUGAGCACUUGGAGAACAAUAUCGAACAUUAUUCAUCCUCAUCUCCCCAGGCCCGGGAUAAGGCUGAGCCCUCCUUAGGCACUGCCCACCUCCGGGAGGCCCCGCCCAUGUGGCCUGAGAUGGGUGGUCAGUGAGUGAUGGCAAAGGAGGGUCCUGCUCCAACCAGCCUCCACGUGGCUCCCAGUCCCAGUUCACACCUCCCACGUCUACAUUCUCAGGGCGCCCUCUUCCCCGGGACCUCAACACACCGCCUUCUCAUCACCGUCCUGGGUACAAGGCUUGUAUUUAUCCCCGGAGCUAUUCAUGCCCAGGAAUGGUUUUCCUCUUAGCUUCUUUGAAGUGACCUGAUCAAGUGAAGUGAACACAUACUUGGAACAGAAUAAUGUGCUUCCUUUUCUAAAUAAGAUCUCCUUAUUUACAAAAUGUAGCUCAUAAAACAUCUUUCACAGAUAAUCAAUACUAAGGUUUUUUGUUUUUUUUUUUUUCCCGUCAUCGAUUGCUUGAUUCUCUGUCCAGGGCUCCUGGUCAACAUGAUUGGGCCGGGCUCCUUCAGCGGGGGCGUGACUGCCUUCUGGUGGCAAUGGGACCUCUCAGCCUGUUGCCUCAGGAAAUAAGGCAGAGGUCCCAUAUUUUGGAGGAUAUAUCUCUUCGUGGGAAGAGAAAAAUCGUUGCUCUGCAUUCCAGCUCCUGGGCCAUUUGCACCAGCUAUUUUGGGGAAGGGGAAAGCCAGGCUCCCAACCAUUUCCCCAGAGAAAAGACACCAAUGUCAAUGUCAGCCAUUAGGAAACAUCAUUAAAGCAGAUGAGAAACGGGCUGUGGACGUUUUUAUGAGCCCAGAAUACUCUGCUUGGAGAUUUUAUGGCGACCACAGGAAGCCGGGGAGACAAUGACAUCCACACCCUUUUCUAGAGUCUGGUGAAGAGCCUUUUUUUUUUCUUGUGCUCAACAGAGUGUGUUUUUUGAAAGGGAAAGUUCCUGUUGGGGGCCACAUCCAGCUAAGCCUUAUUCAGAGAAUUUGUUGAUCUGUUAGAGAUGGGAUUCUCCAGGCCAAGUAGCUGUGGGCUCAGUGCCCAAAUCCUUCCAGAACUGCAAAGAAGAUUCUUCUUUUUGAUUCCAGGAUCCUCUGGGAACUAGUCUUUGGAGAUUGCUGUUCAGUUGAAAUCUCUAUGUUUGCAACACCCAUCUGUCAUCUCUAUAUCUUUGUUUUCUUCCUUUUUUCACAUGGCAAAAUGAAGUUCAGAAAGGUUGGGAAACUUGCAUAGACACAUCAAUGGUAAGCAGUGGAGUCAGAAUCUUUGACUCCGCCUUUUCUUCUGUUCCAUCAUGUUGCCUCUCUACCAGGCCCAGAGAUGCAGAUUUAAGGCAGGGAUAGGAAAAGGGCUGCACAAAUAAAACUGUCCCCAAGUGAGGUCUCCAGGGUCUAUGUUUAGGUCUACUAGCUCAGCACAAAUAUUUUGCUCUGAAAAUCAGGAGUUGUGUUUUUAAGGCAUUGAUCUACACAGUGAAAUAAGAGGGAAGUUCUAAACAGUUUGCUUUCUGCCAUCAUAGUAUCGCAAUGGUGUCUUUUCCCUGGAGUUCUAGGAGAGGGAAGAGACAAAUUAUCCAGAAUAUUCCUGAAAUGCAGAGCUUUCCUUUUUAUAUUGACAUCUUGUGGCUGUCCUGUGUUACUGCAGUCUGCAUUGCCUCAUGAGCCGAACAUUUAAUUUUAGUAACAUUUAUUUUACUCUUCCAUGCAUGAAUUGAACUAGGCAUUUCCAAGCACCUGGUAGGUACCAGGCACUGUGCUAGGCACUUGAGAAUAUUAGGAUAGACUUACAGAAGAACCAUGGGAAAGACCAAAAGACAAUACUACAGCAGCUCACUACUGAUGAAUACAAGAACUAUAACUCAGGGAGCACCCGCCCUGCAGGGUAUCAGGCACUCAGUAAUAACUAUCUGGUCUGUAAUCAUCAUCUCACCAUCUCUUCACAAGGACCCGACCUGGUGACUACACUCAUUCACAUUUCAGAUUUGAGGAAACUAAAGUGAGAUGAGAUUAUUCAAAUUAUCCAAGUUUAAAAAAAGCUUGUAAGUGGUGAACUUAGGUUUUUGAAAGCUGAUUAUUCCUAUCUCAAAGUCAGAAUUACACUCUUCUGUGUGCAGAUCACAAGUACUGAUUAAUUCCAAUGAUGAGGUGACAUUGGAGAAGGACUUAGAGAAUGGCCAUGUUUCUUCUGUGAACCCAUGAAAAUUUAACCCAUGAUAAUAUUAGCUUAUCGAACUUUCCAGAUGUCAACCUGUUAAAUUCUAUUCAGCUUAGCGUAAUUGCCCCACCAAAGGAAAAACAAAACAAAACAAAACAAAAAAAACACCUCUGGUAAUAUCGUCAUGCAUAUAAUUUAGCUAGAUUUCCUGCACAAACUGAUAGAUACCUGCAUUUACAAGCCAUUGGAAGUACUAUAUUGUAGCCUGCUUAUUUUAUCUAAUACAUUAGAUUUCUAUUGCUAUCUACCUAAUUACCACAAACUUUGUGGCUCAACCUUUUAUCUCAUUGUUAUCUAGAUCAGCAGUCCAGGCAGGCUUGAUGGGCUCUGUGCUCAGGGUCUCAAGGUGACUGUGGGGCUGAGUUUGGGGCUGGACUCUCUGCCUGAGACUCUGCUUCCAAGCUGACUCAGGUUGUCGGCAGAAGUCAAUUUUUUGUAGUUGUAGGACUGAGACCCCCUUUUCCUUGCUGGGUGCUGGCCAGAGACCACUGUUCAUACCCAGAGGCUACUCUCAGGUCCUCGUCAGUGGCCCCUCCAUCUCAGCCAUGGAGACCUCCCCCGGCUCUCAACUCCCUGCCUUCCCCUUCUGCAUCAAUUGGCAGAAAUCGCUUUGUUUUAAAGGGUCCUUAAAUUAGGUUCAUUCAGUUAGGCCCCUGGAUAAUCUCUCCUAUGUUAAGCUCAACUGAUUAGUAACCUCCAUUACAUCACAAAAUCCCUUUUGCUGUAUAAUCUUACAUACCAUGGGUGUGCCAACUGGGGACCAACGUCAUGGGUCAUUUUAUAAUCCUUCCUACUGCAUUUAACAAUUAUUCUUUCUACAUAUAUUUUUUGGAGGUCUCCUCACAGCUCCAAAGCUAUGACAGUGAAUUAAACAGACGAGCCCCUGAUUCAUGCAGCUGAUAGACUGAUGUUCUGGAAAGAGAGAUAAUUUGCAUUUCCUAAAAUACCUUGUGCUUUUUCAUUAUUUAUGGCUGCCUCAUCUCAUUAUAUAAAUGUACCACAAAUUAAAUAAAUAAUUCCAAUUACUGGACAAUUUAUUUUUUCUUUUGUUUUUUGCUACGCCUGUGGCAUGUGGAAGUUCCCCAGGCCAGGGAUGGAACCCAGGCCACAGUGGUGACAAUGCCAAAUCCUUAACCCACUGGGCCACACAGAAACGCCUCUGUUUUUAAUUUAUGGUAUAUGUGCUACCAAAGCGAGCACCUCUGUGUUUAAUUUAUAAACAACCCUGAAAUGGACAUUAUUUUACCAGACAGAUGCCUGCAGAUGGAAGAUAUGAGCCAAAGUGUUUGACUUCUUUAUUUAUUUAUUUAAGGGCCACACCUGUGGCAUACGCAAGUUCCCAGGCUACGAGCUGAAUCUGAUCUGCAGCUGCCAGCCUAAAAACCACAACCACAGCAACACUGCAUCCAAACCAUAUCUGUGACCUACACUGAAGCUUGUGGCGUUGCUGGAUCCUUAACCCACUGAGUGAGGCCAGGGAUUGAACCUGCAUCCUCAUGGGCACUAUAUUGGGCUUUCAACCCUCUGAGCCACAAGGAGAAUUCCUGAAGUGUAUGAUUUUGAUACCUGUUACUAAAUUGCUUCCUGGAACGCCUGAACCAAUAAACAUUCCUGCCC